UACGAAAGCCCCAAGCGUUAUCCGGAAUCACUGGGCGUAAAGGGUGCGUAGGUGGUCAUAUUAGUCGUGUGUUAAAGACCGAGGCUUAACUUCGGGAAGGCACACGAAACGGUAUGACUUGAGUGCGAAAGAGGCAUAUGGAACUCUCGGUGUAGGGGUGAAAUCCGUUGAUAUCGAGGGGAACACCAAAAGCGAAGGCAAUAUGCUGGUUCGACACUGACACUCAUGCACGAAACCCUGGGUAGCGAAUGGG
Molecule: unclassified non-coding RNA, 253 nt
Filed under: uncultured Parcubacteria group bacterium
Lineage: Bacteria
Description: contains 16S-23S intergenic spacer region
Rfam family: Bacterial small subunit ribosomal RNA
Source: RNAcentral